RNAcentral lists this ribosomal RNA (248 nucleotides) under uncultured Anaerolineaceae bacterium. RNAcentral describes it as "partial 16S ribosomal RNA". It matches the Rfam family "Bacterial small subunit ribosomal RNA", at positions 796 to 1041 of the family's 1533-position model. RNAcentral also lists the same sequence under 1 other name. The record is from RNAcentral. Lineage: Bacteria; Bacillati; Chloroflexota; Anaerolineae; Anaerolineales; Anaerolineaceae.
CUAGCCGUAAACGAUGUGAACUUGGCGUCGGUGGGAUUAAAUCCAUCGGUGUCGAAGCUAACGCGAUAAGUUCACCGCCUGAGGACUACGGCCGCAAGGUUAAAACUCAAAGGAAUUGACGGGGACCCGCACAAGCAGCGGAGCGUGUGGUUUAAUUCGUUGCUACGCGAAGAACCUUACCUGGGUUUGACAUAUAGGUUGUAGGGAACUGAAAAGGGACCGACCCUUCGGGGAGCCUAUACAGGUGU